Molecule: ribosomal RNA, 120 nt
Filed under: Capsicum annuum
Lineage: Eukaryota; Viridiplantae; Streptophyta; Magnoliopsida; Solanales; Solanaceae
Source: RNAcentral
GGAUGUGAUCAUACCAAAACUUAGCACACUGGAUCUUAUCAAAACUUUGAAGUGAAGCGUGCUUGGGUGCGAGUAGUACUAGGAUGGGUGGCCCCUCGGGUAGUCCUCGUGUCGCAUCCC